This 444-nucleotide ribosomal RNA is filed under the name Triticum aestivum (bread wheat). Its description in RNAcentral is "partial small subunit ribosomal RNA". The record is from RNAcentral. Lineage: Eukaryota; Viridiplantae; Streptophyta; Magnoliopsida; Poales; Poaceae.
AUGCGGCGUGCGAGCUGGAUGUCCUUGGGCAUGAUGGUGACGCGCUUGGCGUGGAUGGCGCACAGGUUGGUGUCCUCGAACAGCCCGACGAGGUACGCCUCGGCGGCCUCCUGGAGCGCGGAGACGGCGGAGGACUGGAAGCGGAGGUCGGUCUUGAAGUCCUGGGCGAUCUCCCGGACGAGGCGCUGGAAGGGGAGCUUGCGGAUGAGCAGCUCCGUGCUCUUCUGGUACUUGCGGAUCUCACGGAGGGCGACGGUUCCCGGCCUGAAGCGGUGGGGCUUCUUCACGCCGCCGGUCGCCGGCGCCGACUUGCGAGCAGCCUUGGUCGCCAGCUGCUUCCUCGGCGCCUUGCCGCCGGUGGACUUGCGCGCCGUCUGUUUCGUGCGGGCCAUCGGCGCAGGUGGUGGUGGUGCCUUCUUGGGAGAUCGGGUGCGGCGGUAUUAA